This 592-nucleotide small RNA is filed under the name uncultured Clostridium sp. The record is from RNAcentral. Lineage: Bacteria; Bacillati; Bacillota; Clostridia; Eubacteriales; Clostridiaceae.
ACAAUAUGGUGGUGCAGUAUUCUAGUCAGGUAAGUAUUUUUGAGGACGGGGCUAAAAAUCCGUUGAAGGGCACAUCGAUGAAGUUCCUUGUGCGGGCCUGUAACGCCCAGUUGUGGGCCUGUGCUGGGAGUAAGGUGGUGGGGCGACCGCAAAGGCAUGCGGCACCGACCCUACCAUCGUGGAGACCAGCGUGCGUGCUUUAGGGGAGAUCCCUACUGUACGGCACUGGAUUAAACCUGUAUUGUGGUAAACUUAGCUAUGUACAGAGUAGCCUGCCUUGAGUGAGGUGGGUAGAGGUAAGAUUGAAUCUAAAUUUCCCGGCCAGGAAAUUUGGGCUAUUGCUUACUGAAACCUAUGUUGCAAAAGAGGAUAAGAAAGUACCUAACUGCCGAGGAAAUCUCCUAGACUGUUCCUGUGAGAUAUAUUAAGGAUUGCAGUGUGGACUAAGUGGUAAUCUAGCCCUGUAAAUGGAAACAUUACAGAUGAAGUAUUAAAGGGAAACCGUCAAAGUGGCGACGCUUUGGUUACUUUAUGGGAAAUCCUGCUAGACCUAAGCCGCAAAAUUUACUUAAUGUAUUACCACCAAUUUAAA